UAACGCGUGGGUAACCUGCCUCNCNCUGGGGGAUAACAGUUAGAAAUAGCUGCUAAUACCGCAUAAGCGCACGGUUCCGCAUGGAACAGUGUGAAAAACUCCGGUGGUGUGAGAUGGACCCGCGUCUGAUUAGCCAGUUGGCGGGGUAACGGCCCACCAAAGCGACGAUCAGUAGCCGGCCUGAGAGGGUGAACGGCCACAUUGGGACUGAGACACGGCCCAAACUCCUACGGGAGGCAGCAGUGGGGAAUAUUGCACAAUGGGGGAAACCCUGAUGCAGCGACGCCGCGUGAGUGAAGAAGUAUUUCGGUAUGUAAAGCUCUAUCAGCAGGGAAGAAAGUGACGGUACCUGAAUAAGAAGCCCCGGCUGACUACGUGCCAGCAGCCGCGGUAAUACGUAGGGGGCAAGCGUUAUUCGGAUUUACUGGGUGUAAAGGGAGCGUAGACGGCAAGGCAAGUCUGAAGUGAAAGCCCGGUGCUUAACGCCGGGACUGCUUUGGAAACUGUUUAGCUGGAGUGCCGGAGAGGUAAGCGGAAUUCCUAGUGUAGCGGUGAAAUGCGUAGAUAUUAGGAAGAACACCAGUGGCGAAGGCGGCUUACUGGACGGUAACUGACGUUGAGGCUCGAAAGCGUGGGGAGCAAACAGGAUUAGAUACCCUGGUAGUCCACGCCGUAAACGAUGAUUGCUAGGUGU
RNAcentral lists this ribosomal RNA (694 nucleotides) under uncultured bacterium. RNAcentral describes it as "bacterial SSU rRNA". It matches the Rfam family "Bacterial small subunit ribosomal RNA", at positions 111 to 823 of the family's 1533-position model. The record is from RNAcentral.